GAUGAACGCUGGCGGCGUGCCUAAUACAUGCAAGUCGAGCGAACAGACGAGGAGCUUGCUCCUCUGACGUUAGCGGCGGACGGGUGAGUAACACGUGGAUAACCUACCUAUAAGACUGGGAUAACUUCGGGAAACCGGAGCUAAUACCAGAUCAUAUAUUGAACCGCAUGGUUCAAUAGUGAAAGACGGUUUUGCUGUCACUUAUAGAUGGAUCCGCGCCGCAUUAGCUAGUUGGUAAGGUAACGGCUUACCAAGGCAACGAUGCGUAGCCGACCUGAGAGGGUGAUCAGCCACACUGGAACUGAGACACGGUCCAGACUCCUACGGGAGGCAGCAGUAGGGAAUCUUCCGCAAUGGGCGAAAGCCUGACGGAGCAACGCCGCGUGAGUGAUGAAGGUCUUCGGAUCGUAAAGCUCUGUUAUUAGGGAAGAAAAAAUGUGUAAGUAACUAUGCACGUCUUGACGGUACCUAAUCAGAAAGCCACGGCUAACUACGUG
Molecule: ribosomal RNA, 497 nt
Filed under: uncultured bacterium
Lineage: Bacteria
Description: partial 16S ribosomal RNA
Rfam family: Bacterial small subunit ribosomal RNA
Source: RNAcentral